CCUGCCUACUGCUGGCAAACUCCGUGGCCUCCAACUUAUUUGAAUUCUCGAAGAGAAGCCCAGUGGAUACUUGGACCUGCUGGAGGAGAGACAAAUCCAAGCCCGGAUGGCCGUGGAAGACAGUCAGUCAGUUCAAGAGUGCCCAGCGAGCCCUGUUCCCACAGAGAGCUACUUUUGCUGGUUGGCCAGGGAAAAGGCUUUUGUUAAAAACUCUUCCCUCUCUUAUAUACUCCCACAAACAAGUGCAGCUCCCCAACUAGACACGUCCAGACACGAUGGCUUUUGUGUUCUAAGAUGAUCAGACACCAUUGCUUCCACUAGGAUGGCGCUGUGCCCCACUGGAGAGUGAGAUCUGGGGUGAGCAACAGUCACAGAAACGGCAGGUUUCUGCCGGGUGUAGCAAUGCCAGGACAACCCGAGGCAUGUGGCACAGGGGCCAGGCAGGAUGGGAGAGGCGGCUGGCUCCUGGCUGGUCGAAUGUUCUCUGAGCCCAAAGCACAGCCUGUCUUUGGUGGGUGACAAGCAGAGACCUCUUCAGGCAGUUAGGACACUGCAGAACCCCUGGACUAGUAGGUGUUGUAUGUUCUCCAGCCCCCACCCCAAAUUCCUUCCCUCUUUGCCAGCUGAAGGCUUAUCAUUAACCAGUUACCUAGGCAACCCUAGUCAACCUGGACACUGUCAUUGGGAGGAGCAAGGGCCAAGAGGCCCUUGCAUCUGUUCUGACAGCAUUCUCGACCCUUCCCAGCUUUUUAGCCUUGCUCACAGCCAAGUAAGUGGUGGUGUUGAGGAUCCUGAAGAGGCUGCCUGUGCCUCUGGUUCCUGGAGCUGGACACGGACACGACGAUGGGAUCCUCUGGCUCUUCCCUGUCCAGCUUUCUGCCUGAGCCUUUCCCCACCUCUCUUCUUCUUUCUUAAUUCUGAAUGAAGCUGCAGGGCUUCAGACAUAUUGAGUCGGGCAACCCAUUUCUCUUGGGAGAAGUCUGGAGGCUCCUCUUUCCUGUCCAAAGCUAGGCCCUGGUUCCCAUCCCCUUUGUACCAUGGAGGGCACUGCCUCUGGCAGCUCUGGCUCGGCUGGCAGGAGAGCUCUGGAAGGUCAGAGGGGGGCAUCUUUCCCUUUCACAAAUAAUCAAAUGCAGCCCAUGUGCUGGAGGACUUGGGUGUAUUAAUAGCAGAUGUUUUGUUUUCCUUCCCCAGUGCUUGUCCCUGCGCUAGCACAGACGAUAAGAACUCACAGUGUUCUCCACCAGCCACCCUUCUGCCCUCCCCCCGGAGAGGCAAGACAGGGGCAUGCGUGCUCCUCUGUUUAAAGCCAUCGCUGAUGUACAAACUCUGAGAAAAUAGACUUAAAAGUUUAUAUUCAGUCUCUCUUGGCUACUGUUGCUGCUCAGCAAAGAAACUCUAUAUUGUUUAAAGCCUCCAGGCAAACGGGUUGCAAGGCAACCUUCAAACAAUAGAAAAUACCCCAAACUAAAAAUAAGAGCAAGAAGGCUUGGGAAGCAUGAUGGUGGGGUUUUGGUGAAGUGGCCUUGCAGUUGAGGCAAAGGACACCCAGGUCACAUCAGCAUGCGAGCCAUUAUGCCCUUAUUGAGGCUUUUACAGCCAGAUCCUGGAAUCUGACUUCAGGAGAGAUGCUAAUAGACUCCCCAGAGUCACUGCCAAGGACUAUGCUGCCUAAGACUGAAUAGCCGCUCAGCCUCUGCUACCAGAGCAACCAGCACCCACAGCCGGGCAUAGAGACGGAGCUGCUCAGCUCAAGGCUACCAGUCUGCUGACCUUUACAGAGACAGGCUCUUCGGGAACACUCUCACUUUUGACUCUCACCAAAGGAUGCCCCUUUGCUUCCUGUAAAAACAAGAGGAUGGAAUAACUUGAUUUCAAAUAACACUGUUCUAGCCUAGGCAAGAAAAAUAAACUAACAAGUGUUGGCAGCCUGGGUUUGUG
Molecule: long non-coding RNA, 1941 nt
Filed under: Cricetulus griseus (Chinese hamster)
Lineage: Eukaryota; Metazoa; Chordata; Mammalia; Rodentia; Cricetidae
Description: lncRNA (ENSCGRG00015040442.1)
Source: RNAcentral